This 250-nucleotide ribosomal RNA is filed under the name uncultured bacterium. RNAcentral's name for it is "partial 16S ribosomal RNA". It matches the Rfam family "Bacterial small subunit ribosomal RNA", at positions 524 to 773 of the family's 1533-position model. The record is from RNAcentral.
UACAGAGGCCCCGAGCGUUAGUCGGAAUCACUGGGCUUAAAGGGUGCGUAGGCGGAUCGGUAAGUGUUCUGUGAAAGCCCCCGGCUCAACCGGGGAACCGCAGGGCAUACUGCCGAUCUUGAGGAAGCUAGAGGCCGGCGGAACGAUAGGUGGAGCGGUGGAAUGCGUAGAGAUCUAUCGGAACGCCAAUGGUGAAGACAGCCGGCUGGGGCUUUCCUGACGCUGAGGCACGAAAGCGUGGGGAGCAAAC